AGCUAACGCGUUAAAUCGACCGCCUGGGGAGUACGGCCGCAAGGUUAAAACUCAAAUGAAUUGACGGGGGCCCGCACAAGCGGUGGAGCAUGUGGUUUAAUUCGAUGCAACGCGAAGAACCUUACCUACUCUUGACAUCCAGAGAACUUUCCAGAGAUGGUUUGGUGCCUUCGGGAACUCUGAGACAGGUGCUGCAUGGCUGUCGUCAGCUCGUGUUGUGAAAUGUUGGGUUAAGUCCCGCAACGAGCGCAACCCUUAUCCUUUGUUGCCAGCGGUUCGGCCGGGAACUCAAAGGAGACUGCCAGUGAUAAACUGGAGGAAGGUGGGGAUGACGUCAAGUCAUCAUGGCCCUUACGAGUAGGGCUACACACGUGCUACAAUGGCGUAUACAAAGAGAAGCGACCUCGCGAGAGCAAGCGGACCUCAUAAAGUACGUCGUAGUCCGGAUUGGAGUCUGCAACUCGACUCCAUGAAGUCGGAAUCGCUAGUAAUCGUAGAUCAGAAUGCUACGGUGAAUACGUUCCCGGGCCUUGUACACACCGCCCGUCACACCAUGGGAGUGGGUUGCAAAAGAAGUAGGUAGCUUAACCUUCGGGAGGGCGCUUACCACUUUGUGAUUCAUGACUGGGGUGAAGUCGUA
Molecule: ribosomal RNA, 640 nt
Filed under: Serratia marcescens
Lineage: Bacteria; Pseudomonadati; Pseudomonadota; Gammaproteobacteria; Enterobacterales; Yersiniaceae
Description: bacterial SSU rRNA
Rfam family: Bacterial small subunit ribosomal RNA
Source: RNAcentral